GACAGAGGGUGCAAACGUUGUUCGGAAUUACUGGGCGUAAAGCGCGUGUAGGCGGCUUGGCAAGUCGGGUGUGAAAGCCCCGGGCUCAACCUGGGAAGUGCACUCGAAACUGCUUGGCUUGAGUACUGGAGAGGGAAGCGGAAUUCUCGGUGUAGAGGUGAAAUUCGUAGAUAUCGAGAGGAACACCGGCGGCGAAGGCGGCUUCCUGGACAGUUACUGACGCUGAGACGCGAAAGCGUGGGGAGCAAACAGG
This 253-nucleotide ribosomal RNA is filed under the name uncultured bacterium. RNAcentral describes it as "partial 16S ribosomal RNA". It matches the Rfam family "Bacterial small subunit ribosomal RNA", at positions 524 to 776 of the family's 1533-position model. The record is from RNAcentral.